GACGAACCGUGCGAACGUUGUUCGGAUUCACUGGGCUUAAAGGGCGCGUAGGCGGCUCGCGUAGUCGGGGGUGAAAUCUUUCCGCUCAACGGGAAAAUGGCCUCCGAUACUGGCGGGCUGGAGGAGGGUAGGGGCGCGCGGAACUUCCGGUGGAGCGGUGAAAUGCGUAGAUAUCGGAAGGAACGCCGGUGGCGAAAGCGGCGCGCUGGACCCUUUCUGACGCUGAGGCGCGAAAGCCAGGGGAGCAAACGGG
This 253-nucleotide ribosomal RNA is filed under the name uncultured bacterium. RNAcentral describes it as "partial 16S ribosomal RNA". It matches the Rfam family "Bacterial small subunit ribosomal RNA", at positions 524 to 776 of the family's 1533-position model. The record is from RNAcentral.